This 269-nucleotide ribosomal RNA is filed under the name uncultured bacterium. RNAcentral's name for it is "partial 16S ribosomal RNA". It matches the Rfam family "Bacterial small subunit ribosomal RNA", at positions 1233 to 1500 of the family's 1533-position model. The record is from RNAcentral.
CGGGUUAACAAAGAAGAGGCAAGACCGCGAGGUGGAGCAAAUCUCAAAAAGCCAUCCCAGUUCGGAUUGCAGGCUGCAACCCGCCUGUAUGAAGUUGGAAUCGCUAGUAAUCGCGGAUCAGCAUGCCGCGGUGAAUACGUUCCCGGGCCUUGUACACACCGCCCGUCACACCAUGAGAGUCGGGAACACCCGAAGUCCGUAGCCUAACCGCAAGGAGGGCGCGGCCGAAGGUGGGUUCGAUAAUUGGGGUGAAGUCGUAACAAGGUAAC